Molecule: ribosomal RNA, 495 nt
Filed under: uncultured bacterium
Lineage: Bacteria
Description: bacterial SSU rRNA
Rfam family: Bacterial small subunit ribosomal RNA
Source: RNAcentral
GACGAACGCUGGCGGCGUGCCUAAUACAUGCAAGUCGAACGCACUCUCGUUUAGAUUGAAGGAGCUUGCUCCUGAUUGAUAAACAUUUGAGUGAGUGGCGGACGGGUGAGUAACACGUGGGUAACCUGCCCUAAAGUGGGGGAUAACAUUUGGAAACAGAUGCUAAUACCGCAUAAAACCUAAACACCGCAUGGUGUAGGGUUGAAAGAUGGUUUCGGCUAUCACUUUAGGAUGGACCCGCGGUGCAUUAGUUAGUUGGUGAGGUAAAGGCUCACCAAGACCGUGAUGCAUAGCCGACCUGAGAGGGUAAUCGGCCACACUGGGACUGAGACACGGCCCAGACUCCUACGGGAGGCAGCAGUAGGGAAUCUUCCCACAAUGGACGAAAGUCUGAUGGAACAACGCCGCGUGAGUGAAGAAGGUUUUCGGAUCGUAAAACUCUGUUGUUGGAGAAGAAUGUAUCUGAUAGUAACUGAUCAGGUAGUGACGGUAUCC